CCCAGACUCCUACGGGAGGCAGCAGUGGGGGAUAUUGCGCAAUGGGGGGAACCCUGAUGCAGCGACGCCGCGUGGGUGAAGGAGCGUUUCGGCGCGUAAAGCCCUAUCGGCAGGGAAGAAGGAGGACGGUACCUGACUAAGAAGCCCCGGCUAACUACGUGCCAGCAGCCGCGGUAAUACGUAGGGGGCAAGCGUUAUCCGGAUUUACUGGGUGUAAAGGGGGCGCAGACGGCAGCGCAAGCCAGGAGUGAAAGCCCGGGGCCCAACCCCGGGACUGCUCUUGGAACUGCGCGGCUGGAGUGCAGGAGGGGCAGGCGGAAUUCCUGGUGUAGCGGUGAAAUGCGUAGAUAUCAGGAGGAACACCGGUGGCGAAGGCGGCCUGCUGGACUGCGACUGACGUUGAGGCCCGAAAGCGUGGGGAGCAAACAGGAUUAGAUACCCCGGUAGAC
RNAcentral lists this ribosomal RNA (449 nucleotides) under uncultured bacterium. RNAcentral describes it as "bacterial SSU rRNA". It matches the Rfam family "Bacterial small subunit ribosomal RNA", at positions 330 to 795 of the family's 1533-position model. The record is from RNAcentral.